GUGGACGGAUCUCACUAACAUGCUAUUGAGUGACAAGAAACAAAACACAAAAGAACACAUUCUCUAUAAUUCUAUUUACUUAAAGUACAAAACAGGCAAAACUAGUCCUGGUGUUGGAAGGCGGGGUAGGGAUUACCCGAUUGGGGGAAAGAGCUGAGGGGGCAUUGAGGGUGCAGGUCCUGUUCUGUUGCUCGAUGUGGCUGCUAGUUAAACAGGUGUGUGCAGUUCGUGAACAAGCAUCUAGCUGUGCACCGGGCACCUUUAAUACUGCAAUGAAAUAUACAUUACAACAAUUGCGUGGGGUUUUGCCCAGGCGGUGUAGCCGUCCUCAGUAACAUUUCCAUUAAAAAAGACCUGCUGGGGGCUUGGAGCCCCAGUUAGGCGCUCACUCCUGCAGAGAUCCGCGCGGCCCCACCCUCCCUGUAGUCUCGGCGCGCAGCCAGGCCAGCGAGGGCGCACCGCGCUGCCUAACGCGCAGCAGAGGAGACUCCAGUCCCGAAACCCGAGAGGGGCCGCCCAGCGCUCUCAGCCGGCUCGCAGAGCCGGGGCCUGGCUCAGGGAGCUUCAGGGCAAGAAACACCCGAGGCUAGAUGCUCCCAAGAAUACAAAGAUAAAGAAGAUUGCCGGCACUUGCCCAGAUGCCUGGUAUGUAAUGACCUUACUGAUUACUUUUUCCCAUUUUAAAGAUAUUAUUGUUUAAGUGAUGCUACCUUCUGAAAAUGACACUAACUGAAACUUUAUGUCUUCCUAUGACGGGUGGUUUUAUUUGAUUGUCAGUAGAGACUACUUGGAACAGACAAUAUGUAGGUUUUACAUAUUCUUCCAGGCUCAUAGAGCAUGAAAAGGACCAUUUCCUGCAAGUAUUUUGUAACCUGAGGAAUUAUAAUAUUUUGUUUUAUUGCUAAUUUCCAGAAAAGAUUGUUCUGGAACACAUCUCAGUACUAUUAGUUUUAGGUCUAAAAGUUCCAAAUGAAGCUUAUUGAAAGCUAAGAAACAUAAUAUUUAGGCUCUUUCUGAGGUUUGUGGAACUUUUUUGAUAUUUGCCUUGUCUGACAGCCUCCCUGCAGUGACAAAAGGCAAUAUAUAUUCUUUCGACAAAGAAGAUUUUAAGUGAAUGAUGUUACGGGUGGGACUUGGUCCUAACUCAGAGCAUGUAAUUCUCAUCUCCUAUAAUCAAAGAGAUAAAAAUACCCAGGGAAGGGCAUUUUGUCAUUUAAAUCACACUUAAGAAUCUUCCUGUUUUCUUAGUCUAAAUAAUUAUUGAACAAUAGUUAUUUUCACAUUUUUGGCCGUUCUACUAUGCAAAACAUUGUAAGUAAUGAAUGUGGAUUGACCAAAUGAUCUGUCCAAAAACUCUGCAUUCUUUGGUACUAAUGAACACUAUAAUUAUUCUACAAUGUGUAUGUGUAUAUAUAUAUAUAUAUAUAUAUAUAUAUAUAUAUAUAUAUAUAUAAAUUUCCUAACCUAAAACAUCCACUUAGAAAUAUAUAUAUUUGUUAUAACAUAUAUAUAUAUAUUUGUUAUAAUAUAUAUGUUAGCCUGGGAUAGCUCUAUAUCCCCUAACCUCAAAACACCCAAAAUAUGGAUAUCUUGGCUAACAAAAUAACAGGCUAACAUUCGCACAUUGUAUGUUGGAAAUUUCAAGUUCAUCAUUAGCUAGUCCUAACCUAAAACAUAAUGAUGACCAUACUGAAAAUCCCAGUUAACAUCUGUUAAGGAUACAGACCAAACAGUGUGUCUUUUGGGAAUUCUUUUAAUCUUCCUUUUAGCCUUGAGAAGGCUGAACAAUAUCUUCAGCAAAAGUAGGGAAUUGUACACUUAAUUGUUACUUGUUUUAAAGCAUAAAUGUCACUGAAAUAGAGAAUAUUGAAAAUGAAACUAGAUUAAAGCCUUAAAAAAUAUAUAAUGAAUAAUCUCAUAGAGCCACUCUUCUAGUCUGUUCUGACUUGCUGCACAGAUGCUGUUGAGUGUCCAGGGUUCUGUGGCACAUUUGAACUUGUGCCAAAUACCAAGGAAAUAUGAUCAAGUAGCUUCCAAGCUAAUUUUGGUAAAUGAGGACACAUUUUAGAAAUGCAUACUCACUUCAUUAAAAUAACUUUGUUUUACGUACUUUCCCCUCAUUCUACUCUUCUCCAUGGACUAACAUAUUGCUUGCUUUUUAGAUUUGGAUGGUAAUUCACUAGUUAGAUAACUUAUUUAAUUUAAUGCUGCCAAGGGCAUUAGUUCUCCUUGACUCAAAAUAACAAGUAACAAUCAACAGGAGUUUAAACUUGAGAUACUUGAGUGACUAUUACACACUAUUAAUUCAUUAUGCCCCCACUCUCCUAAACACUUUAGAAGUAUGUUUCACUGUAUUACUCACAGCAAUCCCAUGAGGUAGAUUCUAUCGCUAUUGCUGUUUUGUAGCUAGGGAAACAGAGUCUCACAGAACUUAAGUAACGAACCCAAGGUUCCAAAGCCAGUAAAAUGUGGCGAUCCAGUACUUACAAUCAAUUCUGCUUAACAUCUGAGUCUAAAACCUAACCCUUAUGUGAUAUCACAUCUUUGAAAGCAGCACAUGUAGUUCUUGAUGUCUCUGGAUGGUCUUUGCUGAGGUGUCUUGUUCGUUUCUUUGUGGCAUCACUAUCUUCUCUCAUGUUACUGAUGAUCUCAGCAAUAACUUCUUUAGAGUUGUCUUUUCCUUGUACAACCUCUGUUUCUUUUAGUUUACUCUUUUCUGGUUGUUUUUGUCUCUAGCUUCCACGUUACAGGAGAGGUUUUCAACACUAGGCAUCAUCAGAAUCACUGAGGGAGCUUUAAAAAAAUGCUGAUGCUUAGGCCACAACGGACAAGCAAACGUCUGCUACUGGGAUGUGUUUCUUCAUGGCUUGCCAGUUGAUUCUAAUGUUCACACUGGGGCAAUCCUUGGAUGUCUAUAUGUCUGUAUUUAAGAGUAGAAGACUAACAAGCUCAUUGGGAAACAGGCCCAGAUGGCUUAAUUAGUGAAAUCUAUUUAGCACUUAAAAAAAAUUAUCGAUUUUACACAAAAUCUUUCAGAAAGUGGAGAAUGAUACCCCUAUUCAACUCAUUUCAUGAAGUCAAUAACACCCUGAUACCAAGGCCAGACAGAAGCAUUAAAAAUACACACUUAAAGAGACAUAAAUAUAAAUAUUUAAAAUUUUUUAUUUAAAAAUGAAAAAUAAAAUACAGAUAUUUAAAUAAAUACCUG
Long non-coding RNA from Callithrix jacchus (white-tufted-ear marmoset), 3208 nucleotides. NCBI's taxonomy places the organism in Eukaryota, Metazoa, Chordata, Mammalia, Primates, Cebidae. The record is from Ensembl.